Molecule: ribosomal RNA, 465 nt
Filed under: Vreelandella stevensii
Lineage: Bacteria; Pseudomonadati; Pseudomonadota; Gammaproteobacteria; Oceanospirillales; Halomonadaceae
Description: partial 16S ribosomal RNA
Rfam family: Bacterial small subunit ribosomal RNA
Source: RNAcentral
CCUACGGGAGGCUGCAGUGGGGAAUAUUGGACAAUGGGCGAAAGCCUGAUCCAGCCAUGCCGCGUGUGUGAAGAAGGCCUUCGGGUUGUAAAGCACUUUCAGUGGGGAAGAAAGCCUUGGGGCUAAUACCCUCGAGGAAGGACAUCACCCACAGAAGAAGCACCGGCUAACUCCGUGCCAGCAGCCGCGGUAAUACGGAGGGUGCGAGCGUUAAUCGGAAUUACUGGGCGUAAAGCGCGCGUAGGCGGUCUGAUAAGCCGGUUGUGAAAGCCCCGGGCUCAACCUGGGAACGGCAUCCGGAACUGUCAGGCUAGAGUGCAGGAGAGGAAGGUAGAAUUCCCGGUGUAGCGGUGAAAUGCGUAGAGAUCGGGAGGAAUACCAGUGGCGAAGGCGGCCUUCUGGACUGACACUGACGCUGAGGUGCGAAAGUGUGGGUAGCAAACAGGAUUAGAUACCCUUGUAGUC